Molecule: ribosomal RNA, 322 nt
Filed under: uncultured Sandona
Lineage: Eukaryota; Cercozoa; Glissomonadida
Description: SSU rRNA
Rfam family: Eukaryotic small subunit ribosomal RNA (bases 105-322)
Source: RNAcentral
GAUUUCUGGUUUAAUGCACCUGGCCCGCAGCCACUAGGCUUGUGAGUGCCGGCGCGCGUUUACCAUCCUUCUAGAAAACGAUUCUGCCAUUAACUUGGUUGGGAUCGCGAUCUAGAUCUUUUACUUUGAAAAAAUUAGAGUGUUUAAAGCAGGCUUUUGCUAUGAAUACAUUAGCAUGGAAUAAUAAUCUAGGACUUCGGUUCUAUUUUGUUGGUUUCUAUAACUGAAGUAAUGAUUGAUAGGGAUAGUUGGGGGUGCUAGUAUUGGCCGGCCAGAGGUGAAAUUCUUGGAUUCGGUCAAGACUAACUUAUGCGAAAGCAUU